AAGAUGUUAUAGCAUUCAGCUUUUUUUGUUUGCACUUUGUGUGUGAUUAAACGAGUGAGUCUGUGUUAUUUCUUAAAGCAACACGAGAUUAACGAAUGCGAUCCAUUAACUUUAGCUGGGUUUCUUAUCUCCAUUUCAAUAUUAACGAUCGGCAAGAGGACUAAAAGCUGAAAUAGCAAUAUUACAUAUUUGAAUUGGGACGUUACCUAUGGACAUUUAACGUAUAAACGUAUAAUACCCUCAACCGAGUUUGUAGUGUAUCGUGCGUUUAAUAUAUUCAUAAUGUUUUCCUACUCCAGCGCUUUAAUAAUGAUUGAAUGCACCUUUAAUGAGUGAGUACAUGACUCCGGGGGUUACUGGAAUUUCUCCCUGAUACUGGCGAUCUGUUGAAACGUUUUACAAACUGCUACUUUCACUGCAUACUAGUUGUUUCUUUCACCCUUAUAAGCUAGUGAUAGCUGUUCCUGCUGGGGCAGAUCUAUAUUUACUGCCUAAGUUAAACAUCUACGGUAGUUGUAUAAUCAUCAAACAUUUUAAGUAUUCCCAACCAGUAAUAAUGUUCUAUAAGUCAGCAUGCGUACUGAUUGAGCGGUUCAUUCUUAUAGCUUGUAUUGCUCUGCCGACUAUGUAACAACAAGUUUCUAAAAAUGACUGAUGCAAAACUGCAGGCAAUUUGCAGGUCGAAACUGCCGGGUAAUGCUGAUAUGCAGUUACUGAGAAGCUCGACACCGCCGCCCCCGGCCUUUCAGCUGAUGACUGGGAAACCCCAGCCUGCCCUCAGGUCACAUGGUUCUGCUCAUCAUGCUGCCCAGUUGUCUCAGAUAUCUGGGCCGAUUGGCUGAUUAAGGAACUGCAUACCACCAAACAGGUAAGACCAGCAGCGUAAAGACGAUAAGCAGCUUUAAUACCUCAGAGUGUGAUAGCAGAUACAAAUAAAGGUCAAUAAAAAUGGCUCAGAUAUUUGUGUGAUGUCAAUGGAAGGUAUACUGGAAAUUUUUGCCCCUUCCAUAUUUAACGCAUAUGUGGGUGAGCUCACAUUUCCAGUGAAAAACAGCAAGUACUUCAGACUGCCUUAUGUAAGCCAAACACCAAAAAAUAGUGUUAAGAAGCACAGCUGGAGAUAAAAAAAAGGCUAUCUUUGUCUUGCUAAUGAUGCACUGCAUCUGCGCUGGUUUUUAAGUCGGGGAUGGUUACUACCUGCACCCCAUUUGGCCAUUAAUCUGGGGAAGUUCUUCAGUGACCUUGGAGUUUUCUUCAUAUAAAUUUUACGUAGGCAGCAGGAGUGGCGCAAAUGCCCUUUUUAAUACUUAAUGCCAUGAAUCAGCCUGUGGAAACCUGAAGCCAGCUGAAAGGCGAUGGGGUUACCGUGGUAUCGCAGACCACACAGCAUGAGUGGGACCCAAUACGGAAGGAAAGGCGCAGUAACAUUUUACACGUACAGGACGCGAUUAAAAAGCACAGAUCAUUAAUACUUCACAGCACGUGGUGCUACUGUAUUAUGCCAAUGUGGCCUGUUUACUUUGAAAACCAAUGGCAGCUUAGCAUGUUCACAGUGUAUGCAAUAAUAUAGAACAUCCCAUAGCAAAUGAAAAUACCUUUGAAAUAUUCUGUCAAAGUGCAUUCUAUUUAUAGCCUUUAAAAGUAAUUCACUUAGUAGUAGCAGUUUUCUACCUGGGAGAUUUUUGAGUAAAAUUGAUUAUAGAAAACAGAUUAGAUUUUACAUGGUUUAGUGGAAUGGGACAAAGAGGGUGAUAUAUAAACAUACUGAUCUGAAUAAGCGCGACAACAUUAAGCCUAAAAAUGUAUUUUAGUGAGUACAUCUAUUUCAGUGUACACCAAAUGAGAAUGUCCUCAACUGAGGAUUAACUUCAGAAAAUUAUCCUACAGAUGGAACCAUAUCAGUGGGACAUGGAUUGAAUUGUUAGAAGUAGAUAUUCAAAAGUCAAUCCCUGUAUUUAUGUCAUUAGACGUUAAAUAGUAUUGUAGCACCGGCAGAGUGCAUGUCUCAGCAUGCCCCGUGUGCAACUGUAAAUAGCCCCUGUCUGUCAGGGUCAGCACCCGUCCGUCCGAGUCUUUCAUGUCUCCCCGUUUGACCAGCAGGUGGCACCAGCCAUCCUGUCCUCCCCGUUGUCAAAGUCCUUAGUGUGCUUCUCUUGCUCCCUAUACUGCUGCAUGGCUCAGUGAGCUGACUGUGUGGCGGCUAACUUCUCUGUUGGGUGUUCAAAUCCUGCCUUCUUUGUAUUUUGUAGAUUUUGUUUCCUAGUGUUUCAUAUGUAUCAUUUUUCCUAGUUCCUGUAUUUUGUAUUUGGUUUUGGUUUUUUGCUUUGUGCCCAUGGUUGUGUUUUACCUGUCUUUGUUCCCCUUGUGAGAGAAUCUGUUUCCUAGUUUCAGUUUCAUGGUGUAGUUUUAUCAGGUUCACCUGUUACCUGUUUUCCCAGCCCUUGAUAAUUGUUUUCACCUAUCCUGUGUUAUUCUUGUUACCCCUCUGUAUUUAAGUUCCUGCCUUAGUUCAGUUCCCCAGUGGGUCAUUGUUGGAUGUCACCUCGUUUCCCCGCCUGUACGAUGCCCCGCCCCCGUGCCAGAACCUCCCGAGUCUGUGGCACUGUCUGUAAUUGUAAAUAGCCUUUGUUGUAUUGUUAUUGUUAAUGGUUGCAUUUCCCUAUUGUCGCACAUGCGUUUGCCCGUGUAUUGUGUGUAUCCUGUACGAUCCUCGUGUGUUCUUACCCUGUAUAUCUCUCCCACCGUGUGUGCACCUUACAGCUCAGCGUCUGACACCCUUGUGUUCCGGCUGUGUGUUUUUGGUUCGAUGCUUGUUGGGUGCCUGUUAUGGACCGCUAUUAAAGACUGUGUUUUCCC
Molecule: long non-coding RNA, 2856 nt
Organism: Brienomyrus brachyistius
Lineage: Eukaryota; Metazoa; Chordata; Actinopteri; Osteoglossiformes; Mormyridae
Exons: 3
Source: RefSeq, a predicted model, not a curated record